GAUGAACGCUGGCGGCGUGCCUAACACAUGCAAGUCGAACGAAGCACUGCAGACGGAGAUUCGUCGAAGCCUGCAUUGACUUAGUGGCGGACGGGUGAGUAAUGCGUGAGCAACCUGCCUUUCAGAGGGGGACAACAGUUGGAAACGACUGCUAAUACCGGCAUGAAGUAUAUUGGAGGCAUCUCUGAUAUACCAAAGGAGCAAUCCGCUGAAAGAUGGGCUCACGUCUGAUUAGCUAGUUGGUGAGGUAACGGCUCACCAAGGCUGCGAUCAGUAGCCGGACUGAGAGGUUGAACGGGCCACAUUGGGACUGAGAUACGGCCCAGACUCCUACGGGAGGCAGCAGUGGGGAAUAUUGGGCAAUGGGCGAAAGCCUGACCCAGCAACGCCGCGUGAAGGAAGAAGGUCUUCGGAUUGUAAACUUC
RNAcentral lists this ribosomal RNA (425 nucleotides) under uncultured bacterium. Its description in RNAcentral is "bacterial SSU rRNA". It matches the Rfam family "Bacterial small subunit ribosomal RNA", at positions 28 to 433 of the family's 1533-position model. The record is from RNAcentral.